GACGAACGCUGGCGGCGGGCUUAACACAUGCAAGUCGAACGGAAAGGCCCUGCUUUUGUGUGGUGCUCGAGUGGCGAACGGGUGAGUAACACGUGAGUAACCUGCCCUUUACUUUGGGAUAACUUCAGGAAACUGGUGCUAAUACCUGAUAGGAGCUCCUGCUGCAUGGUGGGGGUUGGAAAGUUUCGGCGGUUGGGGAUGGACUCGCGGCUUAUCAGCUUGUGGGUGGGGUAGUGGCUUACCAAGGCUUUGACGGGUAGCCGGCCUGAGAGGGUGACCGGCCACAUUGGGACUGAGAUACGGACCAGACUCCUACGGGAGGCAGCAGUGGGGAAUAUUGCACAAUGGGCGGAAGCCUGAUGCAGAAACGCCGCGUGCGGGAUGACGGCCUUCGGGUUGUAAACCGCUUUAGCCUGUGACGAAGCGUGAGUGACGGUAAUGGGUAAAGAAGCACCGGCUAACUACGUG
RNAcentral lists this ribosomal RNA (468 nucleotides) under uncultured bacterium. RNAcentral's name for it is "partial 16S ribosomal RNA". It matches the Rfam family "Bacterial small subunit ribosomal RNA", at positions 28 to 507 of the family's 1533-position model. The record is from RNAcentral.